UACAGAGGUCCCAAGCGUUGUUCGGAUUCACUGGGCGUAAAGGGUGCGUAGGUGGUCGGGUAAGUCGGAUGUGAAAUCUCCGGGCUCAACCCGGAAAUGGCAUUGGAAACUACCUUGCUGGAGGAUUUGAGGGGGGAUUGGAAUACUUGGUGUAGCAGUGAAAUGCGUAGAUAUCAAGUGGAACACCAGUGGCGAAGGCGAAUCCCUGGAAAAUACCUGACACUGAGGCACGAAAGCUAGGGGAGCAAACAGG
Molecule: ribosomal RNA, 253 nt
Filed under: uncultured bacterium
Lineage: Bacteria
Description: partial 16S ribosomal RNA
Rfam family: Bacterial small subunit ribosomal RNA
Source: RNAcentral